CGUACGUUAGUCGGCGGACUGGUGAGUAACACGUGGGUAACCUACCUAUAAGACUGGGAUAACUUCGGGAAACCGGAGCUAAUACCGGAUAAUAUUUCGAACCGCAUGGUUCGAUAGUGAAAGGUGGUUUUGCUAUCACUUAUAGAUGGACCCGCGCCGUAUUAGCUAGUUGGUAAGGUAACGGCUUACCAAGGCGACGAUACGUAGCCGACCUGAGAGGGUGAUCGGCCACACUGGAACUGAGACACGGUCCAGACUCCUACGGGAGGCAGCAGUC
RNAcentral lists this ribosomal RNA (277 nucleotides) under uncultured Staphylococcus sp. RNAcentral's name for it is "partial 16S ribosomal RNA". It matches the Rfam family "Bacterial small subunit ribosomal RNA", at positions 85 to 355 of the family's 1533-position model. The record is from RNAcentral. Lineage: Bacteria; Bacillati; Bacillota; Bacilli; Caryophanales; Staphylococcaceae.